CUCCUUUUUUUUGGGUGGGGGCCCGGGGAGUUCCCUUGGUUUUCCUUCCUUUUAGGGGGGGGAUUUUUUCCCCCCCCCCAAAAAAAAAACCGGGGGGGGGGGGGGGGGAGCGACAGGAGAGCGGCGCAUACGGAUGACGCAAGUCACCUAGCAACAGUUCUUCCUCCCCUCCUCUCCUCUCUCUCCGGAUUCCCUGCCCCCCCCCCGCCCUUUUUCCUCCUUCCACCUACCCACCCCCAAGUAACUUGGGCGCCCGCUGAUGAUGCUGAGGUGGAAGAGGAAGUCGCAGCUGAGGGAGACUAGGGGGAGGUGGGUGCGCCUCAGGCCGCCCCAGCCGCCGCCGCGUAAAAGGGAGGAGGGAGAGGAAGGGGAGGAGUUGAGGCAGCUACAGUUGCCGCCUCUUGCCCCACCCCCAGCCUCAAUGAGGUGGCGAAGGAUGAAUGUUGAUAGUAGGGGUUCCUCCACCCUAGGGGGUAGAAAAAGGGGAGUGUGCAGACUAGAAGGACGGGAGCCCCCCUCCCCCCGCAGCGGGAGCGCGCGCAGGCGCAGUACGCGCACGCAGACGUCUCGGCGGUCGGGAGGUGAGAGCGAGCGGCUUCACUCGGAGCUCCGAGCCCCGAGGGGAUUCAAGCAACCGCUCAUCCCUCCCGGAGCAGAGCGCCGGGCCUCGCUGCUCUGCAACCCUCCGCGAGGGCUGAAAUUGACUUUUCUCAAGUAGCACUGAGACCUGCUUCCAGGUUAGACAUCCUGUGGUGAUACAGCAUUGUGAGAGACUGUUGAUUAAUGACUGCAGAGAAGGUGGAGAAAGGAAAUCAGAAGGUGGUCACCUGGGGGCAACUCAGCCAUGGAACUGAAGAAGGGAGAGAACUACAGCUGAGUGCCAGUGUGUGGGAUACUGUACCAAGCCUGAAGGAAAGGAGGCUAGAAUCUAGCUGGGACCAGUUCUGACCUCACUGAAAGUAUUUUAUGCAAGGACUAAAAGCACUUUGUACUAGUGAAUUCCCCUGUGUGGGAAGAACCAGAGACACCUUGGGGAUUUGCCAUCCCAGGAAAAAGAAUGAGAAACUGAAUGAUAGGGGAAUAAAAGAAAAAAAAGUUGAGUGUGAUUAAAUAAA
RNAcentral lists this long non-coding RNA (1115 nucleotides) under Monodelphis domestica (gray short-tailed opossum). RNAcentral's name for it is "lncRNA (ENSMODG00000051323.1)". The record is from RNAcentral. Lineage: Eukaryota; Metazoa; Chordata; Mammalia; Didelphimorphia; Didelphidae.